Molecule: ribosomal RNA, 1083 nt
Filed under: uncultured Lactobacillus sp.
Lineage: Bacteria; Bacillati; Bacillota; Bacilli; Lactobacillales; Lactobacillaceae
Description: bacterial SSU rRNA
Rfam family: Bacterial small subunit ribosomal RNA
Source: RNAcentral
AGUCGAGCGGACAGAAUGGGAGCUUGCUCCCUGAUGUUAGCGGCGGACGGGUGAGUAACACGUGGGUAACCUGCCUGUAAGACUGGGAUAACUCCGGGAAACCGGGGCUAAUACCGGAUGCUUGUUUGAACCGCAUGGUUCAGACAUAAAAGGUGGCUUCGGCUACCACUUACAGAUGGACCCGCGGCGCAUUAGCUAGUUGGUGAGGUAACGGCUCACCAAGGCAACGAUGCGUAGCCGACCUGAGAGGGUGAUCGGCCACACUGGGACUGAGACACGGCCCAGACUCCUACGGGAGGCAGCAGUAGGGAAUCUUCCGCAAUGGACGAAAGUCUGACGGAGCAACGCCGCGUGAGUGAUGAAGGUUUUCGGAUCGUAAAGCUCUGUUGUUAGGGAAGAACAAGUGCCGUUCAAAUAGGGCGGCACCUUGACGGUACCUAACCAGAAAGCCACGGCUAACUACGUGCCAGCAGCCGCGGUAAUACGUAGGUGGCAAGCGUUGUCCGGAAUUAUUGGGCGUAAAGGGCUCGCAGGCGGUUUCUUAAGUCUGAUGUGAAAGCCCCCGGCUCAACCGGGGAGGGUCAUUGGAAACUGGGGAACUUGAGUGCAGAAGAGGAGAGUGGAAUUCCACGUGUAGCGGUGAAAUGCGUAGAGAUGUGGAGGAACACCAGUGGCGAAGGCGACUCUCUGGUCUGUAACUGACGCUGAGGAGCGAAAGCGUGGGGAGCGAACAGGAUUAGAUACCCUGGUAGUCCACGCCGUAAACGAUGAGUGCUAAGUGUUAGGGGGUUUCCGCCCCUUAGUGCUGCAGCUAACGCAUUAAGCACUCCGCCUGGGGAGUACGGUCGCAAGACUGAAACUCAAAGGAAUUGACGGGGGCCCGCACAAGCGGUGGAGCAUGUGGUUUAAUUCGAAGCAACGCGAAGAACCUUACCAGGUCUUGACAUCCUCUGACAAUCCUAGAGAUAGGACGUCCCCUUCGGGGGCAGAGUGACAGGUGGUGCAUGGUUGUCGUCAGCUCGUGUCGGGAGAUGUUGGGUUAAGUCCCGCACGAGCGCAACCCUUGAUCUUAGUUGCAGCAUU